CUCAGUUACUGCUCUGCAUUCCAGGCCACAGGGGCAUGGAUCUCAUUAGGCAGCCUUACAAAGCCUAUAUGGACAGCCUUGUUAGGAAAGGGGAUGCCAUGGAACUCUUCUUGAUUUCACUUGAGCUGAAGGACUUUUUAACAAUGUAUUUUUGAGGAAUAAUUGUUUAAAAAAAAAAAAAAAGUUUUAAGAUGUAUUUGAAAGUGAGGGAAUAUGAAAGAGAGAAAGCAAGAAAGGAAGAAAGAGGAUUAACAAGUAUUCACCUUUUAUUACCAUAUGUAAUUGAUGAGCAACAAAUUUAACAACACAAGCAUUACUGAAACAGAUUCUGGGAGCACUACCACGAAUAUAAGUCACACUCAGGCCUCUUCUGAUCCUAGCACAAUUAACAAGUAGGAAAACUUCCCUUGACUUAGCAGAAAAGUGGAAGAAGGAGGCAUGGACUUCCCCACUUUUGUGGGUUGCAUAUACCAUCUCAGAAGCUAGGAAGCCUGUCCUUGUCCAUAGACUCUUUCAACAGAGUAUGAACAAUUCCUGCUGUUUUGAAAUCUUUCUCCUGCUUUUGCACCCAAAAGACCACAGCCCGGCCUGAAGCUCCUUUUUUGAGGAGAGCUGCACAAACAAAGAUAAGAACAGGCCUAAUCUUGUGCCAAAAUGAUCUGCAGCAACGAACUAGGACAUGGUUACAGCCAUAUUUAUUGGCAUUCCAGCACUAUGACUCACGUGGAAUUAGCUCUAGAAGUGGAACAAUGUGAGCUGAAGAGGUUUACAGUUGAGGGAUAAACAGACAAAGGAGAUGGAUUGAGGAUCCAACCUGCAAGAGAUCACAUUUAGGAGAGAAUUGGCAUGACAUGGAGAGAUUCCAGAAGCAAUUCACUGAAGAAAAUUACCCCAUCCAGAAGAAAUACCCUAGGAUUUGACAAGUAUCAUCAGAUGAGGACAUUUCUAGACACUGUUUUGGAGGUAGACAUUAACUACCUGAAAUGAGCCCCAAAGCUCCUGCUGUCUCAAAGCCACAAGUGCUGCUGGCUCUUUUCUUCCAUGACCAACACUUUGCUCCACUGCCUGAUGCUUUAAAUGUACUAGGGAAUGCAGGCAUGGUGCUAACAUCACAACUGCUGUUCGUGUACAGGCUCACUGCCCAGUCAAGACAUACCUAUCCUUCUCCAGGGACAACAAUCCACUGCAAACCAUCUUCAGAGAAGUAUUCUUUUCAUCUGCUUCUUUUUUCACCCUCCUAGGAUUUCAAGUAAAUCCACAGGUAUUUCACGAUGCUGGCUUCCAGAGAACACAAGUAUUUCCCCAGAUAAUUAUCCCUUGGAAACUUCUGCACUAACUCCUUUUUAAAACAAAACAGGCAGAGUGGCAAGACUAUCAAGAGAAAGAAAGAUCAGAAGUGUUACAAGCUCAACAGCAAGGAACUAACAAAAUCAUGCAGGGCAAGAAUUGAGGCUCCCAAAUAAACCACUCACCAGAGCCGUAGCUGCUUUGUCU
RNAcentral lists this long non-coding RNA (1494 nucleotides) under Anas platyrhynchos platyrhynchos (common mallard). RNAcentral describes it as "lncRNA (ENSAPLG00000030791.1)". The record is from RNAcentral. Lineage: Eukaryota; Metazoa; Chordata; Aves; Anseriformes; Anatidae.